Molecule: long non-coding RNA, 3209 nt
Organism: Lolium perenne
Lineage: Eukaryota; Viridiplantae; Streptophyta; Magnoliopsida; Poales; Poaceae
Source: RefSeq, a predicted model, not a curated record
GGAAGCAUCAAUCCGGUCAUAAAAAGUGUCAAAAAAAAGAAAAGGAAGAAGAGUUAAUUCAAUCUCAAAGAGGGGCCAUGGACAUAUUUGUUAAAAGGAAGUCAGAAGUAUCUUCGGAUAAUCAGUCGGUUGAUCCUUCUAACCUUGCACUUGCUAUGAUUCUUUUCAGCCUGAUAUAUUUGAUCCAAGAUAUUGGGAUUCUCUUGAUUCUAAACAAAUUGACAUUUUAGCACAGAAGGGUCCAAGAAGAGACUCAUCAAUUAAGAAGGGUCCUAAAGAUAGAUACUCCAGAAGGUUUUCUGCACUAUUCUAUACUAGAGAUCUAUCAAAUGGAGAGCAAUGUGAUAGAGAUUGGCUUGUCUAUUCUAAUAAUCUCGAUAAAGUCUUCUGCUUUGGAUGUAAAAUAUUUACAAAAGGGCAUCGAAAAGGUCAGUUGGCAAAUGAGGGUUGUAAUGAUUGGACACAUCUCAGCACAAGACUAAAAGAGCAUGAGAAAAGUGUGGAUCAUGUUUUGAAUAUGACCAGAUGGUACGAGUUUCGUACUAGAUUGGAAACACAUCAAACUAUUGAUAAAGCUGCUCAGCGACAACUUGAGAAAGAAAAGGACCACUGGAGACAGGUUUUGUUCAGAAUUGUUUGUGUUGUGAAAUUUCUCGCCAAGCAUAAUCUAGCCUUUCGUGGUAGUAACGGAAAAUUGUAUGAAGAUAGCAAUGGUAAUUUCCUGGGUUUGAUAGAGAUGUUGGCUGAAUUUGACCUUGUUACUCAGGAGCAUGUUCGUCGUAUUACAAAUGAAGAAACUCAUGCGCAUUAUCUUGAUCAUAAGAUUCAGAAUGAGUUGCUACACUUGCUUGCUUCUUCUAUCAGGUAUGAAAUCAUUAAGAAAAUAAAGAGUUCAAAGUAUUUCUCUGUCAUACUUGAUUGUACCCCUGAUGCAAGUCACCAAGAGCAAAUGUCUUUAAUUAUAAGAUAUGUGGAUACAUCUUCAAAGCAUGUUUGCAUAGAAGAAUCCUUUCUAGGAUUUUUAGAUGUAAAUGAUACGACUGGGCAAGGACUAUUUGAUGUGCUAGAGAAUGAACUAAAGCUUCUUGAUCUUGAUAUAAAUGAUGUGCGAGGGCAAGGUUAUGAUAAUGGGUCAAAUAUGAAAGGAAAAAAUCAAGGGGUACAACGGAAACUUUUGAAUGUAAAUCCUAGAGCUUUCUAUUCUGCUUGUGGUUGCCAUAGCCUUAACUUGACACUUUGUGAUAUGGCCAAGACACGUGGUAGAGCUAAAGACUUCUUUGGAAUCAUCCAACGCAUCUAUACAAUUUUUUGCUAAUUCUACGAAGAAAUGGCAUAUUCUGAAAGAUAACAUAUCAGGAUGGACUCUUAAGUCAGUCUCAGCUACACGUUGGGAGAGUCGUGUUGAAAGUGUCAAUCUAUUAGAUUUCAAUGUGCAGACAUUCGAGAGGCUCUACUUCAGGUUUCCGAAACUGAUAAUGAUCCUAAGACAAGCAGAGAGGCUUUAGGUUUGGAAAAAAAUGAACUUGGAGACUAUGAAUUUAUAGUGGCAAUAGUCAUUUGGUUUGAGGUAUUGUCUGCUGUUAACUUAGUAAGCAAAAGCUUGCAAACUAAGGAUAUGCUAAUUGAUGUUGCUAUUGAGAAAGUGCAAGGUCUUAUGUCUUUUUUCGAGGGGCACAGGGAAACUGGUUUCUUAGAGGCAUUGGAGAAAGCUAAAGGAAUUGCACUUGAGUUGAAUAUUGAUGCAAAAUUUCGUGAAAAGCGGGAAAUUAAAAGAAAGAAGCAGUUUGAUGAGAACCCGGAUGACACAAAUAUUGCCACUCAGUCUGCGGAGGAAUCAUUUCGAGUCAACUAUUUUAUACCUCUUGUUGAUCAAGCAAUUUCCUCACUCAAUACCAGAUUUGAACAAUAUAAGGGCUACCAGAAAAUCUUUGGUUUCUUAUUUACCUCUGAAAAGUUACAGUCACUGGAUGAUGAUACCUUGAAAUCUUCUUGUGAGAAUCUCCAGGUUGCCCUUACAAAAGAUAAAAAAUCUGAUAUUGAUGCCAACGAUCUUUAUGUUGAGCUGAAGUUUCUUCGAGAAUUCAUUAAAGAAAAUAUGGGGCCAGUUGAAGUUCUGAAUUUUUUAAAGAGGCAUGAUUGUUUUCCCAACGCAAGUAUUGCAUAUAGAGUUUUAUUGACCAUUCCUGUGACUGUUGCAUCAGCUGAACGAAGCUUUUCUAAGUUGAAGUUAUUGAAGUCAUAUAUGCGUACUACGAUGACACAACAAAGACUCAAUGAUUUGGCGACAAUAUCACUUGAGAGUGAAAUAUUGGAGAAGAUUUCUUAUGAGGAUAUCAUUGAAGAUUUCAUUUCAAAAAAUCCCAAAAGAAUGAUGUUAUUCAAAUAAAUAUUAUGCAACCAGGAGUUGACUAGGUAUGAUUCUUAAUAUAUCCAAUUUUUAUGUAAACUAUUAUGACAUACGUAAUAUAUUUGCUGAAUAUUUUAAAUUUACUAGUACGAUAGGGCCCCGAUUUAGAAUUUCGCACAGGGCCCCGAAUUUUGCCCGCCCGGCCCUGCAAGUAGCCUGUAGCGAUACAGCUUUGUUGUAGGAACAGGUUGGAAGGCCAACUUGGGAAAGCCUUCCUUAUUUCUCACCCGGCAUUCCUAAAUCUCCUGGAACAGAUCAAAUAUGGGACAACCUCUCAGUCAAGACUAGAAAGAAUGGUAGCUAGCCUUGAAAUUACCUGCAACAACUGGUCGCCCUGUUCAGCUGAAAGUCCAGGACUGGCAAGUAAAACAGAACCAAGUUAGUGGCUCUUCUCCUGCCUGGAGAUAACUCCUACACCAAGUUAGUGGCUCGACCGUUCAACAUUCACUCUUCUGCUAAAAUUGCUCCAAUGUGAAUCUCCUUCUCAUCCUAGAUUUGCUGUUAAUUCAAUUGGGUGUUUCAGUGAUCAAGACCAUUAGCAAGUAACGUGAAGCAGUUAAAGGUAUACAUAUCCCUCUUUGACAUCUGAAAACUAUACUAAAUGUGUUCGAAUUUUUUUCAGGCGCUUAUGAAACUCUUCAUUGUCGAUGUCGUCUCCUUUGCUUCCCAGUUGAUCGCGUACUUUGUUAUAAUAGGAGUUAUAGUGGCAUUCUUUUAUUGCUGCCUGAAGCAACUCGGAGGGUGUUUAGAUGCAGAGCAUGAAACAGUUCAGGGCCAAUCUGCAAGUCACAGCGAAGCAGCA